Molecule: ribosomal RNA, 482 nt
Filed under: uncultured bacterium
Lineage: Bacteria
Description: partial 16S ribosomal RNA
Rfam family: Bacterial small subunit ribosomal RNA
Source: RNAcentral
AUUGAACGCUGGCGGCAUGCUUUAUACAUGCAAGUCGAACGGUAACAGGCCGCAAGGUGCUGACGAGUGGCGAACGGGUGAGUAAUGCAUCGGAACGUGCCCAGUCGUGGGGGAUAACUACUCGAAAGAGUAGCUAAUACCGCAUACGAUCUAUGGAUGAAAGCGGGGGACCGUAAGGCCUCGCGCGAUUGGAGCGGCCGAUGUCAGAUUAGGUAGUUGGUGGGGUAAAGGCUCACCAAGCCAACGAUCUGUAGCUGGUCUGAGAGGACGACCAGCCACACUGGGACUGAGACACGGCCCAGACUCCUACGGGAGGCAGCAGUGGGGAAUUUUGGACAAUGGGCGCAAGCCUGAUCCAGCAAUGCCGCGUGCAGGAAGAAGGCCUUCGGGUUGUAAACUGCUUUUGUACGGAACGAAACGGCUCUGGUUAAUACCCGGGGCUAAUGACGGUACCGUAAGAAUAAGCACCGGCUAACUACGUG